CAGUGGAAGCCGGCCUGCUUCUCCUGAGUGACCACACCCUCUGGGGAGUAGAAGAGCAAGACCCUACAUUGGCCUUCUUUCCGUGGCUGGGGUUCCUUCCUGCAUCCAGACCCCUGGGUCCGCACUGGAGCCGGUGGGCGGGUGGCACUGUUGGUGGGAUGUGCGUGACACACACGAAUGAUUCAUGUCCGGCGUGGGUGGCCCCGAAGGCCCUUCCUGAAGACCUGCGAUUGUUCAGAGCUUCCUAAUGAGCCGGCACAGGGCUCUCCAGAGGCCGAUCAGGAGUUCACUCUGUCAGUGUCUGCAGGCCAAGUUCUCAUUUCUAAGGUGAAGCUGAGGUUAGGUUGCUCUGGCUCGCUUCUCAGCAGCAGGGGAAGUGAUGGGUUUUUCAAAUGGAGACCUCCCUGCGGCCUUUUGGAUGGCUUCUUGUAGUCAUUGGAACCAAAGCUACAAAGGGAAAUGGUCAGUGCGUCCAGGGAGAGGAAGAAGCACUGACCGAGGGGCUGAGGAGGAGCCAAGUGCCAUUCUGCAUCUUCUCGAUAUCUGGUCAUCGGAUCAUCUGAUCGCUCACUCCGGACCCUCUGGGCCACUCUCCUCUUCCUGCUGUGUAUUCACAGAAGGACGCCGAGCCUCUCCUCUGCAGGAAGGCCCACCUAUGCGCGGCUGGAGGCGAGGUUGCUCUGGAGGUUCAUGGGAAAGCAGGAAAACCAGGACAGUGAAUAACAGGCUCACUCCAGCGCCAUGGAAGAGAUUCUGAUGACGAAAGAACUCCAGCUGCUUCACCUAUAGAAAGGAAACAAUGGUAUUGAUAGCUCUGUUGGUGACGGUUCUGAAAGACCCAGUCCUGGCUGGAACGCAGCCAGUUCAUCUGAAGAGCGGCGCCCGGGAGCAUUUGGUAGCAGUGAUCACAGCUUUUAAAGGUAGAGGUGCUCUUGGACCCAAAGGACUUAUUUUAGAUGGCUAGACAAAUAACAACAGCCCUCCAUGCCACGGCAAAACACCUGACGUUUCCAGAAAAGAAGAACAAUUUUUACAUCCAGUCAUGUCACCAAAAACAUGCUACUGAGGGAUUGGUGAGGAGUGUGGAGAAAGAAAACUGACCAGUGUAGGAAGUUUCCGGCUACUCAUAAUACAUAUCCUCUGUGAGAUAAUUCCUUGUACCAGCUCUCUGUGAAGACUGAUUGGCUGGGAAGCUCUGUUAAAAGAUGGCCUUUAACCUUUUCUUUGGGUAAGGGACAUAUCUCUGGAAUCAUUAUUUUUAAUGUAUCUUUAAUGUAAAGAUACCCUAACUGUGUAGAUCAUAUAGAUAGAAAAUUCUAGAAAAUUAUGGAAAUAUCUUUUAUAGUUCAAGAGGCUUUUGUAAGGUAUUUUUGAAGAAGUCAAUAAGGAUACCUUAAACUUUGCUCUUCCUAGUACUUAGGUAGAUCUCAGUUUUCUACUUCACUUUACAGAAAGGAAAACAGGAGUAUCUUAUUGUAUGAAUGUGCUAUGAAUAUUAUUGUAUCUAAUAGGAGUCUAAAGCUUCCUCUGUGAGAAAUCUGUGAGUUUUCUGUGGCCUCAGUAUUGGUGAGGAAGGACUUUGUGGUGUUCCCAGGCAGAAAAUCACAAUUUGUAUUUUGCAAAUAUAAACAAAACAAAUACAGAAAUGAUAAUGUGUCCCAGGACCAAAGAACAAAAAUCUCUCUCACACACACACACACACACACACACACACACACAAAUGAGGGCAAGUCAAGCUACAUACCACACUUGGCUGAUUGCCACAGUUUAUGGCUCUUGUUUGCUGCACUGGGAAGGGAUGGUUUGGGAACCGGAAGCCUGCUGGUCGCAUCAUGUAACUGGUGAGGCUCUUACAUCAAGUUGCUUGAAGAGAGUGGGGUGAAUAGUCUCAUCCUUGCUGCAGCCUUGGAGAUAUGCUGCCCGUGCUUUCUCAGUAAAACUAAGCUGUGUAACGUUCUGGGUCAAUGUGGAGCAGAAAAAACAUUUCGUUUGGUAAAACAAGCCUCCAAGACUCCAGACUGUUGUAGCAGCAUCUCCCAGUGAGCGAGGGCUUCAUUCUAAUUAGACCACUUGCUCUCCCUGAACACAUCCCUGGCUUUGGUUAAUUUGUGGACAUUUGCUCCCUGUCUCCUAACAUUUCUCUGCAUUCUCCCAUUCACCACUGAAAUAUUUCCAAGUGAAUAUGUCACACCUUAAGCUUUGCUUAAGAUUUCAAAGAUUGGGAGAGAAGAUGUGACAGUGUAGCUACUCCUGCCUCCCAGAAUAAAAGUUAUGGAUACUUUCCUCAACAGGGUGUAAAAUCCACACCAUUAAGUUUCGGGAGCAUAUGAUAUAGGCAUAACUGCUACUUUCUCUCUAAGGCUGUGUGAGGAGAUCAAGAUGACCUCCCCACCCAAAUUAGCUUGCCUUAGCUACUGAAGAGCCCUGGGUGUUCCAGAAUUACUGAUACAGAAUGUCACCUCUUUUUUGUCUUUGUCUUAUGGGUGUAAGUCGGCACACACUGAAUCUUUACAUUUCCUUCCGUACAUUUUAACAUAAAGGGGGACCUUAAUCUGUCACAUUCUCAAGCCGGCUGACAAGGGUGAUCAGUUGCUGGUGGAGUUCCUGUGUAUUCACACGUGUGGCUCCAGAGUAGUCGCGUUUCCCUCCGUCCUUGCUCUGCUUGCAUGUCCCGAGCAAGCGCUGGCUUGGGACAAGCCCUAACACUUGCAGAGAACUCUGGACUGCCGGGGCGUUCUGAUGACUCUGAUGACGGUUAUGAUUUGUAGUGUAGGAUAUGGAAGCCAGGCUUUGUGUAUGCUAGGCAAGCGCUCUACCCCUGAGCUACAUUCCUAGCCUAGAAAUUUAAUUUUUGAAAAAAACAAAAAAAGCCUGCUGGGGGGCUGGGGAUUUAGCUCAGUGGCAGAAGCGCCUGCCUGGCAAGCGCAAGGUCGUGAGUUCGGUUCCUGGUACCAAAGAAAAACCAAAAAAAAAAACAAAACAAAAAAAGCCUGCUCUAAUGUUUAGGUCGUUUGGCUUCUACAUCAAUGAUAAGAAAAAGCGUCAGGUUUUCUAUCUUACCUUGAUCAGAGCUGCAGUGAACAGGGUUGUUGACAACACUCGGGGAGAGGGUGAACGGGCAGGGGCACACACAGGUGGCUUGUAAAAGGUGAAUUGUAAUAGGAAACAGAGAGAUAGAUCGUUCGCAGAAGGGAAAGGGGCCAAGAGAAGGGGGGACGGGUGAGAAGAGGGGGAAGGGGAUGGAGCAAGAAUGAAGACGUGCCGUGUCACCUUCAGCCUCCCGGGUGAGCGUGGUCAUUGUGCACUGCAAACGUGUGCUGAGAAAAAUGAAAACUUGAAAGAAAAUAGAAAAUAUAAUAAAAUAUGAAUUUUUAAAAAAUGUGUAAGAAGAGAUAAAAAGCAGUCUUAGUACUUCCUUGGGGCAUUUCCCAAUUCUUCCCGUCAUAUGAUUCCAUGAGGAGUUGGUAAGAGGGGCACCCCUCCCCCACACCCAGCGCUGUGUCUGCUCCAUCGCCCUGUGCCCUGGCAGCACCCUCUGUGAUGAGGGCUGGUGUUGC
This 3557-nucleotide long non-coding RNA is filed under the name Chinchilla lanigera (long-tailed chinchilla). Its description in RNAcentral is "lncRNA (ENSCLAG00000026665.1)". The record is from RNAcentral. Lineage: Eukaryota; Metazoa; Chordata; Mammalia; Rodentia; Chinchillidae.